RNAcentral lists this long non-coding RNA (225 nucleotides) under Mytilus galloprovincialis (Mediterranean mussel). Lineage: Eukaryota; Metazoa; Mollusca; Bivalvia; Mytilida; Mytilidae. The record is from RNAcentral.
UAACAUAAAAAAUUUGGUGCACUCUGAAUAACGCGCGUAGCGGGUUAUUUAACAGUGUGCACCACAUUUUUUUUUGUUAUUUCGAAUAGACAGAAAAAAUAUUACAGUCAUUUCUUAUUUUUUAAUUCUAAAUUCCAUUUUAAACCGUAGAAAACCAUGAAAAAAAUGUUGCUGACGUCACGGUCACAUGACUAAAUUAUUUCUAUGGGCUAAUAACAAAAUAAC